This 1627-nucleotide ribosomal RNA is filed under the name Salmonella enterica. RNAcentral describes it as "partial 23S ribosomal RNA". It matches the Rfam family "Bacterial large subunit ribosomal RNA", at positions 1243 to 2848 of the family's 2925-position model. The record is from RNAcentral. Lineage: Bacteria; Pseudomonadati; Pseudomonadota; Gammaproteobacteria; Enterobacterales; Enterobacteriaceae.
UAAGCCUGUGAAGGUGUGUCGUGAGGCAUGCUGGAGGUAUCAGAAGUGCGAAUGCUGACAUAAGUAACGAUAAAGCGGGUGAAAAGCCCGCUCGCCGGAAGACCAAGGGUUCCUGUCCAACGUUAAUCGGGGCAGGGUGAGUCGACCCCUAAGGCGAGGCCGAAAGGCGUAGUCGAUGGGAAACGGGUUAAUAUUCCCGUACUUGGUGUUACUGCGAAGGGGGGACGGAGAAGGCUAUGUUGGCCGGGCGACGGUUGUCCCGGUUUAAGCGUGUAGGUGUGUGUUCCAGGUAAAUCCGGUUCACUUUAACACUGAGGCGUGACGACGAGGCACUACGGUGCUGAAGCAACAAAUGCCCUGCUUCCAGGAAAAGCCUCUAAGCAUCAGGUAACAUCAAAUCGUACCCCAAACCGACACAGGUGGUCAGGUAGAGAAUACCAAGGCGCUUGAGAGAACUCGGGUGAAGGAACUAGGCAAAAUGGUGCCGUAACUUCGGGAGAAGGCACGCUGACACGUAGGUGAAGUGAUUUACUCAUGGAGCUGAAGUCAGUCGAAGAUACCAGCUGGCUGCAACUGUUUAUUAAAAACACAGCACUGUGCAAACACGAAAGUGGACGUAUACGGUGUGACGCCUGCCCGGUGCCGGAAGGUUAAUUGAUGGGGUCAGCGCAAGCGAAGCUCCUGAUCGAAGCCCCGGUAAACGGCGGCCGUAACUAUAACGGUCCUAAGGUAGCGAAAUUCCUUGUCGGGUAAGUUCCGACCUGCACGAAUGGCGUAAUGAUGGCCAGGCUGUCUCCACCCGAGACUCAGUGAAAUUGAACUCGCUGUGAAGAUGCAGUGUACCCGCGGCAAGACGGAAAGACCCCGUGAACCUUUACUAUAGCUUGACACUGAACAUUGAGCCUUGAUGUGUAGGAUAGGUGGGAGGCUUUGAAGUGUGGACGCCAGUCUGCAUGGAGCCGACCUUGAAAUACCACCCUUUAAUGUUUGAUGUUCUAACGUGGACCCGUGAUCCGGGUUGCGGACAGUGUCUGGUGGGUAGUUUGACUGGGGCGGUCUCCUCCUAAAGAGUAACGGAGGAGCACGAAGGUUGGCUAAUCCUGGUCGGACAUCAGGAGGUUAGUGCAAUGGCAUAAGCCAGCUUGACUGCGAGCGUGACGGCGCGAGCAGGUGCGAAAGCAGGUCAUAGUGAUCCGGUGGUUCUGAAUGGAAGGGCCAUCGCUCAACGGAUAAAAGGUACUCCGGGGAUAACAGGCUGAUACCGCCCAAGAGUUCAUAUCGACGGCGGUGUUUGGCACCUCGAUGUCGGCUCAUCACAUCCUGGGGCUGAAGUAGGUCCCAAGGGUAUGGCUGUUCGCCAUUUAAAGUGGUACGCGAGCUGGGUUUAGAACGUCGUGAGACAGUUCGGUCCCUAUCUGCCGUGGGCGCUGGAGAACUGAGGGGGGCUGCUCCUAGUACGAGAGGACCGGAGUGGACGCAUCACUGGUGUUCGGGUUGUCAUGCCAAUGGCACUGCCCGGUAGCUAAAUGCGGAAGAGAUAAGUGCUGAAAGCAUCUAAGCACGAAACUUGCCCCGAGAUGAGUUCUCCCUGAGACUUAAAGUCUCCUGAAGGAACGUUGAAGACGAC